This 460-nucleotide ribosomal RNA is filed under the name uncultured bacterium. Its description in RNAcentral is "partial 16S ribosomal RNA". It matches the Rfam family "Bacterial small subunit ribosomal RNA", at positions 338 to 795 of the family's 1533-position model. The record is from RNAcentral.
CCUACGGGUGGCUGCAGUGGGUAAUAUUGGUCAAUGGGCGUAAGCCUGAACCAGCCAAGUCGCGUGAGGGAUGAAGGUUCUAUGGAUCGUAAACCUCUUUUAUAAGGGAAUAAAGUGUGGGACGUGUCCUAUUUUGUAUGUACCUUAUGAAUAAUGAUCGGCUAACUCCGUGCCAGCAGCCGCGGUAAUACGGAGGAUCCGAGCGUUAUCCGGAUUUAUUGGGUUUAACGGGUGCGUAGGCGGCCUUUUAAGUCAGCUGUGAAAGUCUGUGGCUCAACCAUAGAAUUGCCGUUGAAACUGGGGGGCUUGAGUAUGGUUGAGGCAGGCGGAAUGCGUGGUGUAGCGGUGAAAUGCUUAGAUAUCACGCAGAACCCCGAUUGCGAAGGCAGCUUGCCAAGCCAUGACUGACGCUGAGGCACGAAAGCGUGGGGAUCAAACAGGAUUAGAUACCCUAGUAGUC